GGUGCCGCAGUGGCCACUAGGGGGCCCCAGCACCGCCCAGCGGGAAUCUCCACAUUAUCCGAGACGAACCCUGCGCCUCCACCCGCGGCCUUGCAGCCAGCGACCAGGGGUCCGCGGGGAUCCUGGGGGAUGUGUCUGUGGAGCCCCCCAGGGGUCCGGGAAAACCCACCCUCCACGGAGCUCGCUGACCACGGACAAAACAGGGUCACUCCCGGGGGCAGCCGCGGACAGGUCUGAGAAGCAGAGACAGGCCCUGCCCGGACAGGCCUGCAGCAGUGGGAAGUAGUUUCCCGGGAGCUGGUUUGCCCGAUCCUGCAGCAUCAUCCAGCGAGAAGCCUCCAGCAUGAAGCUUUGCAAACUGCUUUUGACGUGUUCCACCGGUCACAGCGCCUUCUCCAUACACUGCACAGAGCUGCUUUUUCUGCAUUUCAGUUCCGUUUUUACCUUUAGUGAAAUAAUAAAGCAUAAUAUGCUGAAAAUGUUGCUUUCUUCCUUCCAUCUUUAAAUUAAAAUGGCCACACAAAAAUUCACCACUUCUGAUAAGUUUUUUAAAUGCUGAUAUGACAGCUGUCACAAUACAAUGUAACAAAAUUGUUUCCGAUGAAGUUAAAGACAACCAGGUGCUGCUAUCAGCUCAGUUCAGUUCAGCUGCUCAGUCGUGUCCGAC
Molecule: long non-coding RNA, 667 nt
Organism: Capra hircus (goat)
Lineage: Eukaryota; Metazoa; Chordata; Mammalia; Artiodactyla; Bovidae
Exons: 3
Source: RefSeq, a predicted model, not a curated record